AAGUCUGGUGCCAGCAGCCGCGGUAAUUCCAGCUCCAAUAGCGUAUAUUAAAAUUGUUGCGGUUAAAACGCUCGUAGUUGGAUAUCUGUGAGCGGGUUUCGGUCCUUCCCAGUGAAGAUUACACGGAACUCUGCUCGCAUUUGUUCAGGGAGGGUGGAUGCACUUCACUGUGUGACCACAUGAUCUGAAUUUUUACUUUGAGGAAAUGAGAGUGUUCCAAGCAGGCAAUCGCCGUGAAUAUGAUAGCAUGGAAUAAUAGCACAGGACUCUUGGUUCAAUGCUGUUGGUUUGUUGAACUAGAGCAAUCACAAUA
This 313-nucleotide ribosomal RNA is filed under the name uncultured dinoflagellate. Its description in RNAcentral is "bacterial SSU rRNA". It matches the Rfam family "Eukaryotic small subunit ribosomal RNA", at positions 557 to 874 of the family's 1831-position model. Lineage: Eukaryota; Dinophyceae. The record is from RNAcentral.